This 253-nucleotide ribosomal RNA is filed under the name uncultured bacterium. Its description in RNAcentral is "partial 16S ribosomal RNA". It matches the Rfam family "Bacterial small subunit ribosomal RNA", at positions 524 to 776 of the family's 1533-position model. The record is from RNAcentral.
UACGUAGGGUGCGAGCGUUAAUCGGAAUUACUGGGCGUAAAGCGUGCGCAGGCGGACUGUUAAGCAAGACGUGAAAUCCCCGGGCUUAACCUGGGAAUGGCGUUUUGAACUGGCAGUCUAGAGUGUGUCAGAGGGGGGUAGAAUUCCACGUGUAGCAGUGAAAUGCGUAGAGAUGUGGAGGAAUACCAAUGGCGAAGGCAGCCCCCUGGGAUAACACUGACGCUCAUGUACGAAAGCGUGGGUAGCAAACAGG